AGGACGAACGCUGGCGGCGUGCCUAACACAUGCAAGUCGAGCGGAGUCAGUAAGAGGAAGUUUCGGAUGGAAUCUUAUGAUUAGCGGCGGACGGGUGAGUAACGCGUGAGCGACCAACCUUGCACAGGGGGAUAACGGACCGAAAGGUUCACUAAUACCGCAUGAGACCACGGUGUUGCAUGACACAGGGGUCAAAGGAGCAAUCCGGUGCAAGACGGGCUCGCGUCCGAUCAGGUAGUUGGAGGGGUAACGGCCCACCAAGCCUAUGAUCGGUAGCCGACCUGAGAGGGUGAUCGGCCACAUUGGAACUGAGAUACGGUCCAAACUCCUACGGGAGGCAGCAGUGGGGAAUAUUGGGGCCAAUGGGGGAAACCCUGACCCAGCAACGCCGCGUGAAGGAAGAAGGUUUUCGGAUUGUAAACUUCUGUCCUUGGUGAAGAGAAGAAGACGGUAGCCAAGGAGGAAGCCCCGGCUAACUACGUGCCAGCCGCCGC
RNAcentral lists this ribosomal RNA (494 nucleotides) under uncultured bacterium. Its description in RNAcentral is "bacterial SSU rRNA". It matches the Rfam family "Bacterial small subunit ribosomal RNA", at positions 26 to 518 of the family's 1533-position model. The record is from RNAcentral.